UGGCGGCGUGCCUGACACAUGCAAGUCGAACGGGUGCUAGUUGCCCGCAAGGGGUGAUUAGCGCUAGUGGCGGACGGGUGAGUAACACGUGGGCAACCUGCCUGAGAGUGCAGAAUAACCCUGCGAAAGCAGAGCUAAUACUGCAUGUGAUUGUCGGAUGGCAUCAUCUGACAACUAAAGUCGCAAGACGCUCUCAGAUGGGCCCGCGGCCUAUUAGCUAGUUGGUGAGGUAACGGCCCACCAAGGCUGUGAUGGGUAGCUGGUCUGAGAGGACGGACAGCCACACUGGGACUGAGACACGGCCCAGACUCCUACGGGAGGCAGCAGUGAGGAAUUUUCCGCAAUGGGCGAAAGCCUGACGGAGCAACGCCGCGUGAGGGAUGAAGUCUCUAGGGAUGUAAACCCCUGUUGGGUGGGACGAAGAUCUGACGGUACCACCUGAGGAAGCCCCGGCUAACUACGUGCCAGCAGCCGCGGUAAUACGUAGGGGGCAAGCGUUAUCCGGAUUUACUGGGCGUAAAGAAGCGCCGUAGCCGGUCCCCGUAAGUUGGGUUGUGAAAAGUUCGA
RNAcentral lists this ribosomal RNA (567 nucleotides) under uncultured bacterium. RNAcentral describes it as "bacterial SSU rRNA". It matches the Rfam family "Bacterial small subunit ribosomal RNA", at positions 37 to 606 of the family's 1533-position model. The record is from RNAcentral.